RNAcentral lists this ribosomal RNA (440 nucleotides) under uncultured Pseudomonadota bacterium. RNAcentral describes it as "bacterial SSU rRNA". It matches the Rfam family "Bacterial small subunit ribosomal RNA", at positions 254 to 686 of the family's 1533-position model. Lineage: Bacteria; Pseudomonadati; Pseudomonadota. The record is from RNAcentral.
GGGGUAACGGCUCACCUAGGCGACGAUCCCUAGCUGGUCUGAGAGGAUGACCAGCCACACUGGAACUGAGACACGGUCCAGACUCCUACGGGAGGCAGCAGUGGGGAAUAUUGCACAAUGGGCGCAAGCCUGAUGCAGCCAUGCCGCGUGUAUGAAGAAGGCCUUCGGGUUGUAAAGUACUUUCAGCGGGGAGGAAGGGAGUAAAGUUAAUACCUUUGCUCAUUGACGUUACCCGCAGAAGAAGCACCGGCUAACUCCGUGCCAGCAGCCGCGGUAAUACGGAGGGUGCAAGCGUUAAUCGGAAUUACUGGGCGUAAAGCGCACGCAGGCGGUUUGUUAAGUCAGAUGUGAAAUCCCCGGGCUCAACCUGGGAACUGCAUCUGAUACUGGCAAGCUUGAGUCUCGUAGAGGGGGGUAGAAUUCCAGGUGUAGCGGUGAAA